GGUGGUGUGGGCCUUCUUACUCGC
This 24-nucleotide non-coding RNA is filed under the name Arabidopsis thaliana (thale cress). Lineage: Eukaryota; Viridiplantae; Streptophyta; Magnoliopsida; Brassicales; Brassicaceae. The record is from RNAcentral.